Molecule: non-coding RNA, 738 nt
Organism: Microcebus murinus (gray mouse lemur)
Lineage: Eukaryota; Metazoa; Chordata; Mammalia; Primates; Cheirogaleidae
Source: RefSeq, a predicted model, not a curated record
AGAGGGGCCCGGAGUUAAGGUCUAGAGGAUGAGGGUCUGGGACUGCGAGUGCAGGCUGGGGUCCAGGGACUGGAGUGCCCUGAGUUCCGCCUGGGGAGGCUCCAGGGUGAUGGGUAGGCAGCUUGGUAGGAGAGAAGGGCUUAGGGAGCUCGCCAGGAGUCCAAAAACAGGCUCUUCCAAGUGGUUGGCAGUUGUUUAAUGGUUGGAUGCCUCCAGGGAGAAAGUGCCCCCCCCCGCCCCCAGGACUCUAAUCACUGGGAAGGGGUAUUUGCCCAAGGAGUCUAUGGAGAAGGGAAUGGGACACAGUGAGGAGGGAGGGUCAUUUAUGAGCACCCAGGGAUUCCAGUAACUUACCUUCUUCAGCAGGGAGCUCUUCCCAGGAAAAAGGAAAAAGAAGAAAAGGACAUAUUCAUUUUGGGGUUCAGCCUCAUGCCCCCCACAUCCAGGACUUUGUGGCAAAGGGCAGGAAAGGCCCUAGAUCGUCAGCCCUGCAUUCACUGUCUUACCGCACUAAGAGAACUUGCUGGAGACCCCCGGAAGCACCAUUCAGCUCUGCAUUUACCUUUCAAUAAACAAGACUGCCCCAGACAGGAACAACCUUGGAAGCACAGGACUCAGGCCUGGGUCAGCUCUGGAGCUCACAGCACUGUGCUGCCUUCCCAACCCGCCUGUCCCAGUCCCUGCUGCAAACACUGGCCACAGCCAUCAUGAUGGAACUGAGAUAAACCCUUUUAUUUA